RNAcentral lists this long non-coding RNA (1319 nucleotides) under Helianthus annuus (common sunflower). RNAcentral's name for it is "sRNA HanXRQr2_Chr12g0553571". Lineage: Eukaryota; Viridiplantae; Streptophyta; Magnoliopsida; Asterales; Asteraceae. The record is from RNAcentral.
UUGACAGAGAGGAGCAAGGAGGGGUGAAACCCCAACUUCACAAAAUCCACAAGAAUUACUAGAAAUCUUAAGGAAAUCGAAAGAAUAAUCAUCAAAUUCUAAGCUCCUACACCUGUUCUUUGAAGUGGAACGUGUCAAGGAGAGCUCAAGCAUAGGAGGAUAACGGGUCAAGAUAAGGCAAGGUGACAAAUACACUUAUUGGAAUACUCAAGGUAAGUGAUUUCUAUAAUCACUUCUUUAGUUGUUUAAGUAAUAUAAUGUUUUAAUUAUUAAGUUCAUAUGAAGUUGAGGUUAAAUCAAUGGAUUAUUUUGAUAAAUGCACGAAUGGGUCGAAUAAUUCAUAGAUGAAUAACAAGCCGAAUACGUAUAAGUUAAGAAAUUCCUUAACUCGGAUGUUGGACUUCAAGAUCACGUGAUAGAAUAUUAAAUUACAAUCAUAUAGGAAGAAACGUGACGCAAAACGGACGAAAAAUGAGAGAGUUAUGUCCGUUUCAGUAAGGAUUAAUGGCUAGGAAAAGUGCAGAGUUGACACGGCCGGGUGGUGAACUGACACGGCCGGGUGAAGGUUCUGUCAAAAAUAUUAUUUAUGUGAUUUAUGCGUCGUAGGCUUCGGUAUAUUAUCCGUGAACUACGACGGGCCUCCCAAACAUGAUUUCGAGUGUUUCCUUGACGAUUAUAAGUUGUAAACCCAAGUCUAAGCCUCAUGUAAUUUAUAUAAGAGUGUGAUAGAUGUAUGUAAUGAAGUUGGACAUGUAUUACAUGUAAAUGUAUACAAAAAUACGUACGGAACACGUAGGUAUGAAUACAUGAUUGUAGGUAUGAUUAAAUGUAUAUUAGGUAUGUAGAUGUGUAUGAUUGUAAGUUUGUAUGUGUGCAAGUAUGUGCGAAUGCAUGAUUUGGAUGCAUUUGAGAAUUAGCGUUACUAAUAAUGCCCUUGGGUUUGGAAUAUAAGUUGAUUGGAUGCAUUUAAAUGGUUAACGUCCUUUUUAUGAAGAUGUAGUAAAUGAAUAUGUUGAGAUUACGGGUUUGGCUAACCAAGUUAUUAUUGAGUAUGUUUGAAAGUGCAGGUUAUGAAUGUCGGACUUUCGAAGUGUUGAUAUAAUAAUGAAACGGUUGAAUGUUGAAAGGAUAAUCGGAUUGAAGUAACUUAUGCGGUAAAUCCUCAAUUUUGGCGACUUGGAGAAUCGGAGCGAGCGCGUGUUCGUGUUAUGCGAUACCAAACGCUUCCGCUAGCUUGUUCAAAUGUUUUUGAUCCAAAAUUUGUUGUAUUGGUUUUUAGUAGUAUCUUGUUGAACGAAUUGUAGAAUUGUAUCUAGUUU